RNAcentral lists this ribosomal RNA (406 nucleotides) under uncultured bacterium. Its description in RNAcentral is "partial 16S ribosomal RNA". It matches the Rfam family "Bacterial small subunit ribosomal RNA", at positions 30 to 526 of the family's 1533-position model. The record is from RNAcentral.
AUUGAACGCUGGCGGCAGGCCUAACACAUGCAAGUCGAACGAGUGGCGGACGGGUGAGUAAUGUCUGGGAAACUGCCCGAUGGAGGGGGAUAACUACUGGAAACGGUAGCUAAUACCGCGUACCAUCGGAUGUGCCCAGAUGGGAUUAGCUGGUAGGUGAGGUAACGGCUCACCUCGGCGACGAUCCCUAGCUGGUCUGUGAGGAUGACCAGCCACAUGGGAACGGAUACACGGGCCAGAUUCCGACGGUAUGAAGAAGUGGGGAAUAUUGCACAAUGGGCGCAAGCCUGAUGCAGCCAUGCCGCGUGUAUGAAGAAGGCCUUCGGGUUGUAAAGUACGUUCAGCGGGGAGGCGUUACCCGCAGAAGAAGCACCGGCUAACUCCGGGCCAGCAGCCGCGGUAAUUC